GCAGUGGGAGCCCAUGAAAAGUCAGUGUUUCUGGCCUGCUGGUCUCUCUUGGAACCCCAUCUUUUUUGUUCUCCCUUGGGAUUUAUAUUGAGUUGCCCAUGAUUCUCUAUGCUCAGCAGUGUCUCGUCUCACUGUCUGGAAGCUGCAGAGAAGGUAUAGUCUGGUAUGGGAGCCUGAGUGAGCGAGCUUUGGGGUCAGAACCGCAGAAGCCUUUGCUUUUGGAGGAACUCCUGUUCCCAUGGCAACUGCAGGCCACAUCUCAUCUCCAGGACGACCGGGCACCAUGCUUAUAGAGCCAGGGAAGAGGGCCGCCAGACGUGAGUGUGGGACAGCUCUGCGAAGGUUCCAAGGAGAGAGAGAUCACCCCAACCUUCCUGGGCUUGGAGAUUCCCAGCAGGUGCAGCCUGGUCCAUUCCUCACAGUCGCCCAACACCAGUCACCUCUGUGAACGAGGGCCAUGCCGUCCAGCCAAGCCUCCCAGCCAGCCUCAGUCUCUGGGACAAAGUAAACUCAGCCCUGCUGGGUGUUACAACUCCUCCAAGUUCCUUCAAAGACAGAACCCCGCUGGCUGUUCAGGAUCAGGUUCGAAGUUACUUGUGUGAGCCUGUACCACGCUUCUUUCCAAUUUUAAUGGAAUUAUACGUUGUUCCUUUUUCUUUCCAGUUCCAUGGAUCACCCCCCAUUAGCAACCUCAAGGAAAGUUCUUGAAAGAAAAACAUUCACAUGGUCCCGGCCCCCUCCCUGUCAGGACACCUCCCCCGAAUGCCCCUGCUUCUGUUGGUGGUUGGUUCUCUCGUGAUUGUCCCUUUCUCCUCCAAGUUGAAACAGGGGCUUCCGAGGGCCAGCCUGUGUUGGAGACCUGGUGCCAAAGGGACUUGGGCAGCUCAUGGCUAAGCUGUCAAGGCCCAUGGUCUCCAACACACCAUGCUGUCUGGUGCAAAUAUGAUGAGUCACAUUUGUCAUUUAAAAUUUUCCUGGAGCCACAUUUUAAAAAGUAAAAACCAACAGACGAAGUUAACAUAAUGAUAUAUUUAUUUAACCC
Molecule: long non-coding RNA, 1042 nt
Filed under: Mustela putorius furo (domestic ferret)
Lineage: Eukaryota; Metazoa; Chordata; Mammalia; Carnivora; Mustelidae
Description: lncRNA (ENSMPUG00000031364.1)
Source: RNAcentral